RNAcentral lists this transfer RNA (72 nucleotides) under Haliotis rufescens (red abalone). Its description in RNAcentral is "tRNA-His". It matches the Rfam family "tRNA". Rfam says of the family: Transfer RNA (tRNA) molecules are approximately 80 nucleotides in length. Their secondary structure includes four short double-helical elements and three loops (D, anti-codon, and T loops). Further hydrogen bonds mediate the characteristic L-shaped molecular structure. tRNAs have two regions of fundamental functional importance: the anti-codon, which is responsible for specific mRNA codon recognition, and the 3' end, to which the tRNAs corresponding amino acid is attached (by aminoacyl-tRNA synthetases). tRNAs cope with the degeneracy of the genetic code in two manners: having more than one tRNA (with a specific anti-codon) for a particular amino acid; and 'wobble' base-pairing, i.e. permitting non-standard base-pairing at the 3rd anti-codon position. The record is from RNAcentral. Lineage: Eukaryota; Metazoa; Mollusca; Gastropoda; Lepetellida; Haliotidae.
GCCGUGAUCGUCUAGUGGUUAGGACUUUGCGUUGUGGCCGCAAGAACCCCGGUUAGAAUCCGGGUCGCGGCA